Molecule: ribosomal RNA, 377 nt
Filed under: uncultured Planctomycetota bacterium
Lineage: Bacteria; Pseudomonadati; Planctomycetota
Description: bacterial SSU rRNA
Rfam family: Bacterial small subunit ribosomal RNA
Source: RNAcentral
UAAUACGAAGGUGGCAAGCGUUGUUCGGAAUCACUGGGCUUAAAGCGCGCGUAGGCGGAAGUUCAAGUGUCCUGUGAAAUCCCCCGGCUCAACCGGGGAACUGCGGGGCAAACUGGAUUUCUUGAGGCAAGUAGGGGUACAUGGAACUCUUAGUGGAGCGGUGGAAUGCGUAGAUAUUAAGAGGAACGCCGAUGGUGAAGACAGUGUACUGGGCUUGUCCUGACGCUGAGGUGCGAAAGCGUGGGGAGCGAACGGGAUUAGAUACCCCGGUAGUCCACGCCGUAAACGAUGUCUACUAGGUUGUGGAGGUUCUGACACCCUCACAGUCGAAGCAAAAGUGUUAAGUAGACCGCCUGGGGAGUACGGUCGCAAGGCUA